AUUGAACGCUGGCGGCAGGCCUAACACAUGCAAGUCGAGCGGAUGAAGGGAGCUUGCUCCUGGAUUCAGCGGCGGACGGGUGAGUAAUGCCUAGGAAUCUGCCUGGUAGUGGGGGAUAACGUCCGGAAACGGGCGCUAAUACCGCAUACGUCCUGAGGGAGAAAGUGGGGGAUCUUCGGACCUCACGCUAUCAGAUGAGCCUAGGUCGGAUUAGCUAGUUGGUGGGGUAAAGGCCUACCAAGGCGACGAUCCGUAACUGGUCUGAGAGGAUGAUCAGUCACACUGAAACAGAGACACGGUCCAGACUCAUACGAGAGGCAGGAGUGGAGAAUAGUAGACUAUGGGCGAAAGUCAGCUCCAGCCAUGGCGCGUGUGAAGAAGGUCUUCGGAUUGUAAAGCACUUUAAGUUGGGAGGAAGGGCUGUAAGUUAAUACCUUGCUGUUUUGACGUUACCAACAGAAUAAGCACCGGCUAACUUCGUG
This 482-nucleotide ribosomal RNA is filed under the name uncultured bacterium. Its description in RNAcentral is "partial 16S ribosomal RNA". It matches the Rfam family "Bacterial small subunit ribosomal RNA", at positions 30 to 507 of the family's 1533-position model. The record is from RNAcentral.